Molecule: long non-coding RNA, 3078 nt
Organism: Lactuca sativa (garden lettuce)
Lineage: Eukaryota; Viridiplantae; Streptophyta; Magnoliopsida; Asterales; Asteraceae
Source: RefSeq, a predicted model, not a curated record
AGGGUAUGAAUUCAUGUUUUUAGGAUUUAAAAAGUCAUUUUGAAAAAAAACAAAAAAAUUAAAGAGUCAUCCGGUAGGGGUGGCAAAUCAGGCCAGUGUGUUGUGUUUUUGUUCGACACGCAAAUAUUUUAUGUAAUACGAACACGACACGAUGUCGUGUUUUUUUUAACUAACACGAAAACGAACUAAUUAAAAAACGAUAAACACGACAAAGAUAAUAUAAAAUAACAAUUAGUUUAUUUAAUUAAUAUUUAAUUAUACAUAACACCAAAACCACGACAAAUAAAUACUAAAUCGUGUCAAUUUUGUGUCGAAUUUUGAACACGAACACGACAUCAUGUUUUUACACUUGACACGAAUACGUAUUCAAAUUUCACUUUUGUCCCAGUUUCGUUUUGUGUCGUGUAUUUUUCUCAUGUCGUGUUAACAAUUGUCACCCCUAUCACCCGGUGAACCCCUUCCUAAUCAACAGGUUUGAAGUUAAAAAAAUGUCAUCUCAUCAGACACAUCAUCCCUAAUAAAUGAAAAUAAUUUUGCCACAUGUCACUCUCUCAUUAACUUUGACACAUGUCAUUUUUUGAUAUUUUUGAUUAAAUGUUUUUUCCAUUUGUCAUUUUCUUAUUUUGUUUUUAUCUUUUCUUAAUUAACACAUCAUAUUUAGACCUCAAUUAAUAAUUACCUUAAUUGAAAAUAACCAAUAAAUUACAAUAUUAAUACUCAUAUAGUAUUUUAUAUGUUUCCUUUUAAAUUGAAAUUUUAAAUUUUAAAUUUUAAAUAAAAUUUUGUUUAAACUUUUAUAUUUAAUUUUUGGUUUAUCAAACCCGUAUAACAUACGGGUCUCACACCUAGUUCCUUAUCAAUUAAGAUCUCUCUCUCUCUCUCUCUCUCUCUCUCUCUCUCUCACACACACACACACACACACAUCCACACACACACAUCCCCACACGGCUGGAAAGCCCUAAUCCUCCGUUUCCUUCCACCGGUGACUGCCUCUAUUAUUCCCUUUACCCUUUGUUCCAACACUGCCACUAAUCCACCAUAUUCUGCCACUAGAGUCCACCAUGUUUAAGAAAAAAGAUUCCAUAUCCGGUUUAGGAUUUUAAGCUAUCGAAUCAGUUAAAUUUGUUUUACUUUGUAAAGUUCUUUGAGGGUACAUGGAAGAUUGGCUCAUUCGACUCGGUGCCAAAUGAUUUCAUGUAUGAUAUAUGGACCAACAUGUAACACCCCAAAUUCCAGAGGUGCUGUUGAAGGACUUAAAGUGUAAAUUAAGGAAAGUGACUCGACGAGUAGGCAUGCUUACUCGCCGAGUCGGAGCGGGAUUUGUCGCGGGUUUAAGUGGCCAACUUGCCGAGUCGGUGGCUUGGACUCGACGAGUCGGUGCUGGAAUGAGAAAACCCUAAUCCCAAGGGUUGCACCCUAUUUAAAGGACUUUAUGUCCUUCUCCCAGCCUCCUAUUCCCCCUGAGAGUUCCAGAAAACCAUAAUUUUCGUGUGAGACUUCAUUGUUAAGGAAAUUGGAGCUUGGAAGAGGAAUUUGGUGUCAGGAGCUUGAGGAAUUAGAGGCUAGCAUCAAGGGGCUUGUGUAGACCUGGGAUCUACAUCAGUUUGGGCACAUCUCAGAGGUAAGGAGCCAUUAUCUUAAGCUAUUUCCUUUUUGGUUCAUCCUUGGUGGUUGAUUUGGAGUUCCUUAGCUUGUUUGAGAUCUAUUUCGGGUUUGGAGUUUAGAUAUGAGGUUGCUACUAUAGAUCUAGGCAUGUGAUGGUCCAAAAUGUCAUAAAGCUUCUGUUUAAGAGUUGUUGGUGAAGCCCCCUAGUCCUUAACCCUAGCCCUAGUGUGUUUUGGGCCUAUAUCUCCUUGGUUUCACGUAAAGUUUGCAACUUUAUGGGAGGGUUAGACUGUAGAAGAGUGGAUCUAUGGAUUGGAGCCCCUGCAUGGCUCGAAAAGCCAAUGUAUGGGCUGAGAACUGGAGAGAAUUGGCGAGUCACAUGGGUGUACUCGACGAGUUGUAUGAACAUGUGCAUGGACUCGGCGAGUUGGAAGAACAACUCGGCGAGUCUGUUGAAGAUUGUCUUGAACUCGGCGAGUCUGUUCUUGGACUCGGCGAGUGUGGUCGCAGAACCCAACCUUUUUUGGUUAAAGCUUUGGACGAGUGAGUCGGUUGGCGACUCAGUGAGUUGGACAGGAUGAAAUUCCGAGGUCGUUGAACUAGACGAGUCUUGGGGCGACUCGGCGAGUUGAGUCGUGUUAUGAGAGUUUUUCUGAGUAUAAGAACUCGACUAGUCGACGGGUUGACUUGGCGAGUAGAGUCAACUAGGAAGGUUAACUUUGACUGAGGACUUUGACUUUGACCAAGAGUUGACCAGUUUGACUUCCAAGGGUAUUUUGGUAAUUUUGGUAUUUAUGGAAUUGGUUCUUUGGUAGUGUUCUGUGGUGAAGUUCGUGUCGGUGGUCGGAGCAGCUUGGUCUUAUCUCUUCAAUCGGUAAUUGCAGGUGAGUUCUCCUCACUAUACCAAUAGGGUCUACGGCACCAAGGCCGACCCUCUUUGAUUUAUAUCCUGGUUUAGGAUGGUUGCUAUGAUAGAUUUCAUCCUAGUUAUAGGAUAGUUGCUAUGAUAUGGAUUGGUUAGAUCUGCAUGUUUAAUUUUUUAUAUAUAUAUGUGCACAUGUUCGUUGGUUUGGGGAAAGGGUUGAGGCAGGUCCUGCUGUGUGCAGUAGGCCAAGACACCCUGGGCGGACCAGGUAGACUGCAGGCCCGGGCCGGGCAAAUCUAGUCAGGUCGAAGGCCCAGCGAGCGGUCCGGAUAGGCUGAAGGCCCCAAAGACGGCGGUCCAAAUGUGCCGAGGGAUCGGAGAUUGGUCCAGAUAGACUGAGGACCGGGAUUUGGGCCAAUCAGACUAAUGGCUCAUUAGGUACUUCAGGAGAUCGUGGCAAGGUGAAUGCGUGAUCAUACCGCUCCUCAUGUUUUAUGAUCUAUGUGAUAUGGUUCUGGGAGAUACUCUAAUGUUUAAACUAUUUUGAAAACAAGAUGUAUGAAUUCAAUGGUUUUGAAUGAAAUAAAAUGUUUUAAAUUUGGCUCGAA